CGACCGGCGCACGGGUGAGUAACACGUAUCCAACCUGCCCUUUACUCGGGGAUAGCCUUUCGAAAGAAAGAUUAAUACCCGAUAGCAUAAUGAUUCCGCAUGGUUUCAUUAUUAAAGGAUUCCGGUAAAGGAUGGGGAUGCGUUCCAUUAGGUUGUUGGUGAGGUAACGGCUCACCAAGCCUUCGAUGGAUAGGGGUUCUGAGAGGAAGGUCCCCCACAUUGGAACUGAGACACGGUCCAAACUCCUACGGGAGGCAGCAGUGAGGAAUAUUGGUCAAUGGGCGCUAGCCUGAACCAGCCAAGUAGCGUGAAGGAUGAAGGCUCUAUGGGUCGUAAACUUCUUUUAUAUAAGAAUAAAGUGCAGUAUGUAUACUGUUUUGUAUGUAUUAUAUGAAUAAGGAUCGGCUAACUCCGUGCCAGCAGCCGCGGUAAUACGGAGGAUCCGAGCGUUAUCCGGAUUUAUUGGGUUUAAAGGGAGCGUAGGUGGACUGGUAAGUCAGUUGUGAAAGUUUGCGGCUCAACCGUAAAAUUGCAGUUGAUACUGUCAGUCUUGAGUACAGUAGAGGUGGGCGGAAUUCGUGGUGUAGCGGUGAAAUGCUUAGAUAUCACGAAGAACUCCGAUUGCGAAGGCAGCUCACUGGACUGC
RNAcentral lists this ribosomal RNA (646 nucleotides) under uncultured Bacteroidales bacterium. RNAcentral describes it as "bacterial SSU rRNA". It matches the Rfam family "Bacterial small subunit ribosomal RNA", at positions 92 to 737 of the family's 1533-position model. Lineage: Bacteria; Pseudomonadati; Bacteroidota; Bacteroidia; Bacteroidales. The record is from RNAcentral.